CGGACGGGUGAGUAACGCGUGGGUAACCUGCCUCAUACAGGGGGAUAACAGUUAGAAAUGACUGCUAAUACCGCAUAAGACCACAGCACCGCAUGGUGCAGGGGUAAAAACUCCGGUGGUAUGAGAUGGACCCGCGUCUGAUUAGCUAGUUGGUGAGGUAACGGCCCACCAAGGCGACGAUCGGUAGCCGGACUGAGAGGUUGAACGGCCACAUUGGGACUGAGACACGGCCCAG
Molecule: ribosomal RNA, 235 nt
Filed under: uncultured bacterium
Lineage: Bacteria
Description: partial 16S ribosomal RNA
Rfam family: Bacterial small subunit ribosomal RNA
Source: RNAcentral